AGAGUUUGAUUCUGGCUCAGGAUGAACGCUGGCGGUAUGCUUAACACAUGCAAGUCGAACGGAGUUCUUCGGAACUUAGUGGCGGACGGGUGAGUAACGCGUGAGAAUCUGGCAAAAGGUUCGGGACAACAGUUGGAAACGACUGCUAAUACCGGAUGUGCCUGUGGGUGAAAGAUUAAUCGCCUUUUGAUGAGCUCGCGUCUGAUUAGCUAAUAGGUGUGGUAAGAGCGCACCUAGGCGACGAUCAGUAGCUGGUCUGAGAGGAUGACCAGCCACACUGGGACUGAGACACGGCCCAGACUCCUACGGGAGGCAGCAGUGGGGAAUUUUCCGCAAUGGGCGAAAGCCUGACGGAGCAAUACCGCGUGAGGGAGGAAGGCUCUUGGGUUGUAAACCUCUUUUCUCAGGGAAUAAGAAAGUGAAGGUACCUGAGGAAUCAGCAUCGGCUAACUCCGUGCCAGCAGCCGCGGUAAUA
RNAcentral lists this ribosomal RNA (475 nucleotides) under uncultured cyanobacterium. RNAcentral describes it as "bacterial SSU rRNA". It matches the Rfam family "Bacterial small subunit ribosomal RNA", at positions 8 to 525 of the family's 1533-position model. Lineage: Bacteria; Bacillati; Cyanobacteriota. The record is from RNAcentral.